This 61-nucleotide transfer RNA is filed under the name Girardia tigrina. Its description in RNAcentral is "tRNA-Phe". Lineage: Eukaryota; Metazoa; Platyhelminthes; Tricladida; Dugesiidae. The record is from RNAcentral. RNAcentral also lists the same sequence under 1 other name.
GUUUUUUUAGCUUAAAUAAAGUGUAGUUUUGAAGCGACUAAGAUGGUAUUUCCUUAAAACA